RNAcentral lists this long non-coding RNA (973 nucleotides) under Cyanistes caeruleus (blue tit). RNAcentral describes it as "lncRNA (ENSCCEG00000014514.1)". Lineage: Eukaryota; Metazoa; Chordata; Aves; Passeriformes; Paridae. The record is from RNAcentral.
CCGAUAGUGCCUGCUACCUCUUUUUUUUUAAAAAAAAAAACCAAAAACCUUUCUAAAAUUCUAAAUUCUAAAAGAAAUUGCAAUAAUUAAAAAAAAACAAAAACACAAAAACCAACCAAAAACCAAACAAACCAAAAUACAAAAAAAUAAACCCCAAAACCAAAAAAACCAAAGCACUUACCAUUCUGACCUCAUAGUGCUUUGUCAUGGGCUUAAAAAAAAAACCAAACCCACAGACACAUAAAGACACAGACAGACACACAGACACCGACACGCACAAACAAACACGCGCGCGUAUUUAUGCGUUUUCAAAACAUUUGUGCCAGGGUCACGAAGGGGAUGUGGGGAGCUGCCGGCGCAGCGCAGAGCAGAGCGGUCGCUGCACAAAAGGAGGGCGAGCCCCGCAGCCCGGACCCACCAAGCGCGCCCCGCACCACCGCCCCUCCAGACCACGCAGGAACAGCAAGAGGCAGAGAGGCAGUAGUGUGCAGCGAGGAGCAGCAUUCCCAAGGCCAAACCACAAGCCUUUCAGCACCUCAGCUCUCUUAUCCUAAAUGCCUGCUCUGAAAAGCCCCAGGAAGGAAGGGGAAGACAGACAGGGGUGCAGACUGGUCUCCACAUAACUGGCAUAGGCUAAUACCCCUGGUCCAUGCACAGCUCAUCUUAGGCCCUCCUGCUGCUGUCUUUUUUCCUGAUGCCUUGUUCAGUAAUUUUAAACUGUCUCACUUCUACCAGCUAUCUUUGUUCCAGAGACAGCUAUGACUCCAACAAGAUCAGAGGACGUUUUCCUGCAGCUCAUCUAUCUACCUGCUUGUAGUUCAUCUCUUUUCUCAGAAACAAUGUCAUUAAAACCUCCUGAGGAUCCAGCCCACAAACAUAUUAUUUCAAAUAACUUCACUGGCAAGAUUGAAAAAGUAAGCGCAAGACCACCCACAGUAAUGUCUUUAAACUUUCCAUAUGCACUAAACACCCU